UCCAGAUAAGAUUGGAGACUCCCAACUA
RNAcentral lists this non-coding RNA (28 nucleotides) under Mus musculus (house mouse). The record is from RNAcentral. Lineage: Eukaryota; Metazoa; Chordata; Mammalia; Rodentia; Muridae.